Molecule: long non-coding RNA, 5689 nt
Organism: Dreissena polymorpha
Lineage: Eukaryota; Metazoa; Mollusca; Bivalvia; Myida; Dreissenidae
Exons: 4
Source: RefSeq, a predicted model, not a curated record
UUUUUAAAUUGUAUUAUUCAUAACAGUAACACAAUUGUAUUGGUUUUGUGUUGUACAUAUUUGAUAUCUGAUACGCAAACAUAUUCUUGAAGUGAAAUAUUUUGCCAACAAUAGUUCUUCCCCAUAGUAAAUACUGGAAACCAUACAUUAUCCUACCGCACCCCAAAUUCGACGAUGUUCUAUUUAUAUUGAUUAAAUGGAUGAUUAUUGUCUUUGAAUCAUUUCAAAGUAAUACAGCCGAGUUUAAAAUUAUUAUUUUCUGCUAUUAAACAUUUCAUUAUUUCUUUCAUUAUUUGCUAAAUAUUGCUUCAUGUAACCGUUACAUCGUCGAAUUUCGGUCCAUUACAUUCGAUUCUUUACACCCUUCGAAUUUGGGUCACACUGGGAUAUUGCAUACAUGCAUCUAGUCCAAAUUUUUGACGCUCUUAAAUAUUAAGCUACUUUUUAUAUGGGUAAAGUAUCUCGCGCGUCUUAUAAAUAAGACUAACAUGCAUCAUGCAGAGAUCUCCCUCUGGUUUAGUUCAAACCUGUAUAUUUUAGUUUGAUUGCAUAGGACUUAUUUGAAAAAGCUGUAAAUUUUGUUUCCGGUGCCUAGAACCAGUACUUAGUGUCUAUAGGGAAGAUCUAAAGAACGCUUUCACAGUGGGGAUCGAACCCGUGACCUCCUGGUUGCUAGGCGGACACCAUAUCCUUUACGCCACAGCUACCUCAGGGUUUGGGGUAACGGUACAGUUUGUCAAGACACCAAACGCAAAGCCUAUCCCAAGGCAAUGCCCCAUUUGCGUGGUAAAAGGCAACACGACUGUGUACCUCCGGGUAACAGACCACGUUCGCUGGGUGCAAGCGCUGACGGCAGACCCCAUGAAGCCGUUGAUGUCAGAGGCACGUGCUAAGACCGGUCGGAAAGUGAAGAAGACAAAGCCGAGGAAUUACUACUCUUGCUGGCUGUGCGACCGGUCGGUGAUUGACCGGCUGCGUCAUCUAGAACAGGAGCACAAAAUGGAGGCUGGGACAUUCAAUUUUGUUUACACAAGAGGGCCGUUUCCGGAAAGACGCGAAAACUUCAGGAAAGGUGACCAGCAGACUCGCCACUCAUGAUGACUCGGCAUAGGAGGAUGAGAAGGUGGAGGAUGAGGAGGAGGAGGAAGAGGACUUUUCAUUCCUAAUGCCGAAAUACUGCCUGAGCCUGGAACCCAAUGCAAGGGUGAUGCAUGGUCGGAGAAGCUGCAAUUUCAAUCGUUGACUCAUAUGUAGACUACAUGUUCCUGCGGAGCAGGCCAGGUGGGUUGGCAAACGAGUCGAAAACACAAGAGGUCAACAUGAAGAUCAACCGGUUCCUGGCCCUGUCUGGCUACUUGGAAGGAGUGGUGUUGAGUGACAUGCUGUUGUGGAUGGGCCAUAUGGAGGUCCACGACAGUUCCUCAACACCACUCACCAGCUGAAGACGGUGCGGAAUGCACUAACGGCAAUCAAGAACUUCCUGAAGUGGUGCGAGGGAAUGGUCUAGCGGACGCCCGCACAUUGAACAAUUUAAGCGUAAACUUAGGAUUUGAUUUAUGUAAAUUAUUCAUUCUUCUUGGACAUCUACUUAUUAAUGUUUUGGCGUUGGCGUCUUUCUGUCUGUUCUUCCGUCCAUCUUUCCGUCCGUCCAGCACUUUUGUGUCGAGAGCCAUAUCUUGAAAGUGCUUUGGCCGAUUUCAUUGAAACUUGGUAUGAGUAUAUAUAUGGAUAAGAGGACGAUGCACGCCAAAUGGCAUUGUACACAGUCUGUUAAUUACGGGGUUUUGGCCCUUUGUAUCUUGAAAAAAUGCUUUUUUUAGUGUCAAAUAUAACACUUUUGUGUCCAGAAGCAUAUUGGCGGGGGAUAUCAAUUUAACAAAUUUGCUUGUUUAGCUUUAUUUUUUUUUCGGCCGAUCUCCUUCUCACAGGCUUCCUGACCUCAACCUGCCUGGAUAAGAGCCGUCGCGAGGUUGUUCGGAGGGUAGAGGAGAGUGCGGCCAUCCUGACGGACGCAAACCUGGAGCGCCACUUCACUGAGAGUGAGCAUGUAGUGAAAACGAUCAAGGUGAUCCAGGAGCCCCCAGCUGGCACACCUGAAAGAUAUUCGGGGAAUAAUCAUUUAACUGAUAGCGCUCUAUAACGCCUCCUGAACUGGCAAGUAUACAAACCUGAGGGUAUGUAAUAUAAAUAAGCCUAGUAUUGAUUCGAAAAGAUAACCCUACAUUACUUUUCAGACCAGAGUUGUUUUUCAGUAGCAAUUGCAUAGAAUUGAAUGAAACUUGAAGUUAAUAGGCAUUAAAAUUGGGUUUAUUUAAGUAUACAACAAAGCUGUUCGCCUGUUAAUUGACCGACUUGUCUUAUGUAUAAUAUUUUUACCAGAUUGUUACCUUGAAGACAGAUAAACUAUAAUGCAAAAGUUCAUUUUGACAUUCCAAAUUGGGGAAAGGCCUUGAAGCCAUUGUAAAAUUAAACUGUUAUGGCCCCUUAAUUGAUUGAAAAUGUCAAAUUUCUGUCUGCAUAUGUUGGUGUAUGAAUUUAGUGAAAUUCAAAUUAGAUCAAAUUUGUUAUCAUUUUUCAGUGGUUCUUGCAUAAGAGUCAUCAGGAUGAUUUAGUCAUUUCAGAGAUGUACCCUUUAUAGCUCAACUUGAGUUAUUGUUGCUGGUCUUUGUCUGUUUUGCGAUGUGUGUCUAUAUGUCAACAUUUUUACUUAAACAAUAUCUCCUACUAAACCUUUGGACAAAGCUUGAUGAAACUGGCAGGAAUAUUCCUGGCAUGAAGCUCCUUCAAUGUUGCUCCAAGAAUUGUUUUCCAUGAAAUCCUUGUUGCCCUGGCAACCAAAAGGAAAAACUUAAAAAAUCUACUCUGAAACUGCAAGGCCUUGGGCUGAGAUAUUUAGCAUGAAACAUUGUGUGGUGGACCUUUACCUGUGGGCAAGUCGAUUUUUUGUCGAGCCCACUUAUGGAGAGCUCGACAUAUUUGUCACAGUUGGCGGUUUGGUGUAUGUGGAUCAGUCCGUCAGUAUGAAAGUCCGGGUUAGGCUUGUCUGGAGCGUAAGUCUGUUAUUGAUUGGAGGAAUUUCAAAUAACUUACAAUAAAUGUUCACAAUCAUGACACGGCCGGUCACUGCUCAAGAAAACGUCAAUAUCUCAAAGGUCAAGGUCACACUUUGAGUUCAAAUGUCAAAAAUGGCCAUAAAUGACCUUGUCUGGGCCAUUAUUAUGUCAUUCAUUGUCAGAAUUAAAUUCAAUUUAAAAUCAUGUGUCACCAUAAUUUGACGGUGUUGCAUGGGAAGGAAUAAUGUCGAAAUCUCGAAGGUCAAGGUCACACUUUUAGUUCAAAAGUAAAAAAUGGCCAUAAAUGAGCUUGUCCGGGCCAUAACUGUGUCAUUCAUUGUAAGAUUUUAAAAUCAUUAAGCACAUUUGUUCACCAUCACUCGACGGUGUGUCAUAAGAAUGAAUUACGUCAAAAUCUCCAAACUCAAGAUUACACUUAAGAGUUCAAAGGUUAAUUGGUGGGACUUGUACCAUGAUUGUUCAAACUAUGUUCCUGGGGUCAAAAUUGCCCCACUGGGGAGGGAAAUGUAAUUUCCUUAUUAGUAUAUUAAAAAACCUCAAAAACAAAAAUUUUCUCAUAAAUCACAAGGCCUAGAGCAAAGAUAUUUGGCAUGAAAGUUCAUCUUGUGGACCUUCACCAAGAUUGUUCAAGUAUCAUUGGAUCAUAUUUGCCCCACCCUCGGAUCAAAUUUGUUUUCCUUCUAUAAUAUAUAUAUAAUGAACACUUAAAAAUAUUCUUCUCAAAAACUGCAGUGCGAACAUACAUAUUUUGCAUAAAACAUCAUCUGGUGAACUUCUAUACAGAUUUUUAAAAUUAUCAGCUGGGGGUACCAAUGAUAAAUUCAUUGAAUUUACCUGCUAAGAUUCAUUUGCUUUGUGGAAAUGCAAUAACUUGCAAUGUUUUUAAAGUGAUUGAAUGGUUCAACAUUAACUUAAAAUUAAAAAGAAAAAAACUAUUUCAUACAUCAUAUUAUACUUAUAAAAAGCCAUAAUUGUAAUGCUUUCAUGGAAAAAAAUGAAUGUUUGCUUAAUUUUCAAAAAUAUUAAUAAAUCUUUAAUGUUGAGGAUUCUUCAUAAAGGUUUUACGUGUGCACAGAAUGUUAUGGUAAUCUCCAAAGCAUUCCCAUUACAAAAUACAUCCGAUGUCUAUGGAUAAGUUAUUUUUAUGCCCCCUUUCGAAGAAAAGGGGGUAUAUAGUUUUCGCACUGUCUGUCAGUCUGUCACACUUUUCGUGUCCGCUUUCUAAUUCAAAUAAUUUUCAUUCGAUCUUUACCAAACUUGGUCAGAAGUUGUGUCUAGACAAUAUCUAGGUCAAGUUCGAAUUUGGGUCAUGCCGGGUCAAAAACUAGGUCACGGGGUCACUUAGUGCAUUUCAAGGAUUUAGCAUGGUGUCUGCUCUCUAAUUGAAGUAGUUUGCAUCAACAUUCAUGCGCCUGUCAAGUAUCGGGCAUUCAGCGUGAGAGUCGCGCAUUUACGCAGCAAAACACCCUCUCACACAGCCAAAUCUUAUGCUCUCCUUUUUUUAUACGCCCGUUUUUAAAAACGGGACGUAUUAUAGUUUCACCCUUGGCGGACGGCGUCCACAACAGUGUCCGCUCUCUAAUUUAAAUAGUUUUCAUCCGAUCUUCACCAAACUUGGUCAGAAGUUGUGUCUAGACAAUAUCUAUGUCAAGUUAAAAUAUGGGUCAUGCCGGGCCAAAAACUAGGUCACGAGGUCACUUAGUGCAUUUCAAGGAUUUAGCAUGGUGUCUGCUUUCUAAUUGAAGUAGAUUUCACCCGAUCUUCACCAAAUUUGGUCAGAAGUUGUGUCUAGAUGAUAUGUAGGUCAAGUUGGAAUAUGGGUCAUGCAGGGUCAAAAACGAGGUCACAAGGUCACAUAUUGCAUUUCAAGUAUUUAGCAUGGUGUCCGCUCUCUUAUUGAAGUAGUUUUCAUAUGAUCUUCACCAAAUUUAGUCAGAUGUUAUACUAAAUGAUAUCUAGGUCAAGUUUAAAUAUGGGUCAUGCCGGGUCAAUAACUAGGUCUCGAGGUCACUUAGUGCAUUUCAAGUGCCCCCUAAUUAAAGAAAUUUCGCGGCUAUAUAUAAAACGAGUAUUAUAAUGACAAUAACGCCAGUAACUUUCUUGCUAUUAUGUCUGGAAAUUGAGUGAAAUUUCAAAAGUAAUAUAAAGUUGUACAAGUAUUAAAGUUAUAAAACGGCAAAAAAAUACCUGCCUCGGCAUGGACGUCGCCAUCUUGAUAAUCACGUGAUUUUCGUCUAUGUUAACAAAGAAAAACAAAUCACUUUUUGCUAAUAAAAAGUUUUCGCGGCUGAAUUAUUUGAUAUUUUCCCCGUAAUCAAAACAAACAAUUAGCAUGCAAUUUAAUCCAUCCGUAUGCAAGCUGAAAACAAUAAUUUAUUUGUUUGUUUUCGCCAAUUACGGAUUUGGACGGUUCAAUAUAAUAAACCCGUAUGCCGCUUUAUUCAAAGCUAACAAGUUCUUAACAAUUAAGGUCGGUCCGGUCUACCAAUUAAAAGAUCGCGGUGCUUAUCGUUAACGGUAACAAGUUCUCUGCCUGCCUAAUUAGCUGCUAAUUAAAGCAACUGUUACCGAUUUUGUUUGUUUGGCAUGUCGACAUGAUCUGCUCAAAAUGCUAA